RNAcentral lists this ribosomal RNA (402 nucleotides) under uncultured bacterium. RNAcentral's name for it is "bacterial SSU rRNA". It matches the Rfam family "Bacterial small subunit ribosomal RNA", at positions 355 to 774 of the family's 1533-position model. The record is from RNAcentral.
UGGGGAAUAUUGCACAAUGGGGGAAACCCUGAUGCAGCAACGCCGCGUGAGUGAUGAAGGUUUUCGGAUCGUAAAGCUCUGUCUUUGGGGAAGAUAAUGACGGUACCCAAGGAGGAAGCCACGGCUAACUACGUGCCAGCAGCCGCGGUAAUACGUAGGUGGCAAGCGUUAUCCGGAUUUACUGGGCGUAAAGGGAGCGUAGGCGGAUGAUUAAGUGGGAUGUGAAAUACCCGGGCUCAACUUGGGUGCUGCAUUCCAAACUGGUUAUCUAGAGUGCAGGAGAGGAGAGUGGAAUUCCUAGUGUAGCGGUGAAAUGCGUAGAGAUUAGGAAGAACACCAGUGGCGAAGGCGACUCUCUGGACUGUAACUGACGCUGAGGCUCGAAAGCGUGGGGAGCAAACA